UCUAUUCUAGUGGGUGGUUUCUCUGCUCGGGCUGCUGUGCCCGACGCGCGGCCGGGGCGCGAUGACGUGCGUGUGUCACUCCGUGGGGCCGCUGCCGCGUCGCGUGCGUCUGCCAUGCCCAGGCUGCUGAGUGCCCUUCUUCCUCGUCUCCGCCCCGCUGCAACCUCUCCUCGUGCCUCGCCUAGCUUCCUUCGACUGUCCUCUGCUGCGGUCUGUUGCGGUGGCCUCCUUUGCUCUAUGGACGCCGCUGGUUGAGCUUGGUUCGACUUGCCGUUGUCGCCUGCGUCGAGCCGUGGGUCUUUCUGUCCUUCGCGUUCAGGUUGUUUUCCUAGUUCGUCCUGAUGUUUGGAUCGCGUGCUCCUCCAGUCCUCCUUCCUAGCUUUGGUUGUACGAUCUUGCCCGCUGCUGCUUGCCAUUUGGUUAUGUGGUACAGUGUGAAUCCGGUGGCUGCCCAGAUCUGAACUGCGCGUAGGGGCGGGUGUUCUCGGCCAGAGUUGGGCGUUCUUGCUGACUUUCUGUCUAACCUAUCCACAAGUAUACUAGCCAAUUUCUGUUUAUUUGAUUUUCCUUUCCAAGUACUCCCUCAAUUCCUAAAUAUUUGUCUUUCUAGAGAUUUUAAAUGGAACACCACAUACGGAUGUAUAUAGACAUAUUUUAGAGUGUAGAUUCACUCAUUUUGCUCCGUAUGCAGUCACUUGUUGAAAUAUCUAGAAAGACAAAUAUUUAGGAACGGAGUGAGUACAUGCUUUAGUUUAUCCUGGUCUGCGUACCUUUUUUAUGUUACCUUGGUGGUCGAUGCAGAAUAACAAAUGCAAAACAAGAUGUGCAAAUGUGAGGAUAGACCUAUGAUUCGCGUUCACAACUUGUUCUUGUUAAAAGAACUACUCUACAAGUUUGUUGCAAGUUACAGUAAUUGUGAGGAUAUGAUACCUUAUAGAAAUGAUGCCUUAGUGUUUCUUGCUUGUAUCUGCAUCGUUGCAUGCCGUGAUUGUGUUCUGACCAGUUUUUUGUUGUAUUUUACAAGUUGUAUGAUCUUGUCCGUUGCUGCAUCUCGGUUCUGCUGAUUGCUUCAUCACCAUUACAAUUUUUGAGAUAUCUAAGCUGACGUCUCGAAUAGUACAGAACAGUCAGUCGGAACUGCAGGAGUCAUCUUCACCUUAAUCUAAAAAUAGAAGGUUUUCCUUUUGCUAGAUCUCUGAAAAAUCUGCAGUGGAGUAAGCGCUGGCAUUACCUACUGCUCUGGUUUUUGAAGUUAAUUGCAGCUGGCAAAGCUUGCACUGAUGUUCAUCGUUCGCUGUGUGGAAGCUACAUAAUUCUAUAGUAGUGGAACACUUGUUCUGGUCUGAUCAUCUUGUAAUUUUCCUUUUUUCAGCUUAACUAUUGUAGGGUAGACAGACUCUAUACAUACUGAAGAAAUGUGCCCGUCCGACAGUCCUUCAUGCUCAGUUGUAGUGAUAGCUUUGGGUACUGUGUGCACCCUUUCAUGUAAUUGUGUUACCCCGGCGAAAUUUAUAACUAUGUUGUCACAUACGUCAACUUAGAUCUCGGAAAGCGUGGGUGCAUUACAUUGUGGA
Triticum urartu is the source of this 1574-nucleotide long non-coding RNA. RefSeq lists it as uncharacterized. The record is from RefSeq and is a predicted model, not a curated record. Lineage: Eukaryota; Viridiplantae; Streptophyta; Magnoliopsida; Poales; Poaceae.